GAAUGGUGUUACGAAGGUCUUACUGUCUUAAGAAAAUUCUCAGCGAAAUUGAAUUUGUAGUGAAGAUGCUACAUCCAAAUUGUUAGACGAGAAGUCCCUAUGGAACUUUACUGGAGACUUAUGUGGCUUUAACUUGUGACUUACAAAUAGAUAGGUUAUACUCUGUGGCGACAGUCGUUUUAUCUAAAGACCAGCCCUCUGAUUGACUCUUUGGGGUGGUCUUUGGGCUAGGUUGGUAAAGCCCACUCUUCUAUUUUAAGAAAGCAGCAACUUUUCUAAAAGUUUGUGCGGUAAGAGUUAUGUUGUUUGGUAAGUUAGACAGUUUGGUUGGGGCGACUGCCUUUUAAAGAGUAACGAAGGCGGGCUUAAGAUACAUAUCAACAACUGUUGUCUGACUGCGAAGGGGAAGGCCCUGAGCAGACACUAGGUAGUGGUGGGUUAUAGUGACACGUUAAUUUAAGGUGAAAUAGUUAACGAUAAACAGAUAAAAGU
Molecule: ribosomal RNA, 492 nt
Filed under: Gardineria hawaiiensis
Lineage: Eukaryota; Metazoa; Cnidaria; Anthozoa; Scleractinia; Caryophylliidae
Description: partial 16S ribosomal RNA
Rfam family: Bacterial large subunit ribosomal RNA
Source: RNAcentral